RNAcentral lists this ribosomal RNA (543 nucleotides) under Triticum aestivum (bread wheat). RNAcentral's name for it is "partial small subunit ribosomal RNA". Lineage: Eukaryota; Viridiplantae; Streptophyta; Magnoliopsida; Poales; Poaceae. The record is from RNAcentral.
AUGCCUGCAAACCUGUACCAGUCGGACAAAAUCCUCCGUGCACUGAAGAUGCCCUAUGAUAAGAUACAUGCCUGUGAGAAAGGAUGUGUCUUGUUUAGGCUUGACUAUGCGGACUUGAACUAUUGUCCCAUUUGCAAGUCUUCCAGGUAUGUUGUGGUAGACAACGGUAUGGGUGAGAAGACACAGACCAAAAUCCCUGUUAGUGUUCUUCGGUAUAUGCCAAUCGUACCAAGACUUCAACGUUUUUUCAUGGUCGAAGAGACGGCCAGACAGAUGACAUGGCACAAAACGGGCAAAAGAACCGAACUAGAUGCAGAUGGGAAUCUGAUGAUUGUACACACAUCGGAUGGUGUUGCGUGGAAAAAGUUUGAUGAAUUACAUGGUGACAAAGCGGCAGAUCCGAGGCAUCCUCGAGUUGGCAUCAGCACGGAUGGGUUCAGUGUGUUUGGUAUGACGGCAGCCCAAUACAGUUGUUGGCCCGUAUUUGUCUUUCCACUCAAUCUCCCCCCGGACAGAUUAUGCAAAGAAAGAACAUUUUCCUGA